This 28-nucleotide non-coding RNA is filed under the name Rattus norvegicus (Norway rat). The record is from RNAcentral. Lineage: Eukaryota; Metazoa; Chordata; Mammalia; Rodentia; Muridae.
UCAUAUAAGAGGUACUCAUAGGAUGGAG